This is an RNA transcript of Drosophila montana, 4523 nucleotides long. It is a transcript of the gene named P-element somatic inhibitor, with no coding region annotated. Lineage: Eukaryota; Metazoa; Arthropoda; Insecta; Diptera; Drosophilidae. The transcript is spliced from 8 exons. The record is from RefSeq and is a predicted model, not a curated record.
GAAACUAAGCAUCCCUAUGUACGCAUUUUGGGGCGCAUAAUUUUCACCGAAAAAAAACCAAGAAAGCUGAAGCAAUAGCAAUAAUUGUUAGUCCAAAAAAUUAGCUAAAGGUUUGCGCUGGUGUUUUAUAAGCAAUAUUCAACGCGACGUAAAUUAUUAAAGAAAUCUAGUGAAAACACGCCUUUUCCGGUUUCCAGUGCAUUUCGUUAUUGAAUUUUCCAGUUGCACGUCGUCAACUUGCGUCGGCGUUUUUGCGAAAAUAUCGGGGCGUGGACUGUUCAUUUAGAUUAAAAAGACUAACAGAAGCAGCCGAAAAGCACUUGGGUCGGAAAUAUUUGCAAAUAUGAGUGACUUUCAGACGCAGCAGGCGAGUUUAAGUCAAUCGCAGGCUUUGGCAGCUGCCAUACAACGUGCCAAGCAGAUUGCUGCAAAGAUACAACCAAAUCAGCAGCAGCAGUCACAGGGAGGUGGUGGAGGCGACACUAGUGGCCCAUCCGCAGGCGGAGGCAGCACCAACAACUUUAAGCGACAUAACGACGACGGCGAUAGCGGACCAGACUGCAAACGUUCAUUUGGCAGUCCUGACUACGGCCAAAAUAACUCGAACAUGAGCAGUGGUAGCGGUGGCGGUGGCGGUGGUGGUGGUAGUGGCGCCAAUAUGACCCAAGCCAUUGCGCAGGCAGCCGCUGUUGCAGCGCGUUUGGCCGCCUGGCCGGCAUCCACCUGUGAGGAGCAGGUCCGCAUACCGGAGAGCAUAGUUAGCGCAUUUGUGGGACGCAGCGGCAGCGACACGCUUAGUCACCUGGAAGCAGAGUCCGGUGCUAAACUUGAACUGAUGCAGGAUCAAGAGCGGGUUAUAACAUUGCGCGGUACACGCGAGAGCUGCACAAAAGGACGCGAAAUGCUGCAGCAGAUGGUCAAUCGAAACGGUGGGGGCAAUGGUACCUGUGAGGUUCUGUUAACCAUUAAUAUGCCGCCGCCGGGUCCCGGGGGCUACCCGCCGUACCAGGAAAUCAUGAUUCCUGGCGCAAAGGUGGGUCUGGUCAUUGGCAAGGGCGGCGAUACUAUUAAGCAGCUGCAGGAAAAAACCGGCGCCCGCAUGAUUAUCAUUCAGGAUGGUCCCAAUCAGGAAGUUAUCAAGCCACUGCGCAUUUCCGGGGUACCACAAAAGGUCGAGCACGCUAAGCAAAUGGUCUUGGAUCUGAUCGCCCAAAAGGAUGCACUGGCUCAGCAGCAGCAGGGCGGACGCAGUGGUGGUAGCACUGGUGGCGGUAGCUCUGAGCAAAGCUUCAACAACUUUAACAAUGGCAGCGGCGGGGAAAGCGUAGAGGUCUUCGUGCCCAAAAUAGCUGUGGGCGUGGUCAUUGGAAAGGGCGGCGAUAUGAUACGUAAAAUUCAAACUGAAUGCGGCUGCAAGCUACAGUUCAUCCAAGGCAAGAACGAUGAGAUGGGAGAUCGGCGCUGCGUCAUCCAGGGCACACGCCAACAGGUGGAGGAUGCCAAGCGCACCAUUGAUGGCCUUAUCGAGAAUGUGAUGCAACGCAACGGAAUGAAUCGCAAUGGCAAUGGAGGAGGCGGCGGCGGUAGUCAAGGUGGCGGUGAUUCAAACAAUUCCAAUUAUGGCUAUGGGUACGGCGUGAAUCAUGCGCAGGGUGGUCGCGAAGAGAUUACGUUUCUGGUGCCCGCCUCUAAAUGCGGCAUUGUUAUUGGACGCGGUGGCGAGACUAUUAAGCUCAUUAAUCAGCAGUCGGGCGCCCACACAGAAAUGGAUCGCAAUGCCAGCAAUCCGCCCAAUGAGAAGCUCUUCAAGUCCAAGGGCACCACCGAUCAGGUGGAGGCUGCACGUCAAAUGAUAUCCGAAAAGAUCAACAUGGAGUUAACGGUGCUGUCGCGGAAGCCCAUUAGUGGCAGCGGAGGUGGAGGUGCUGGUGGUGGCGGUGGCGCCAACAAUGCCCAUCACAAUCAACAGGCCGGCGGGUACGGAGGCAACCAAAUGCAGGGUGGCGACCCCAACGCAGCCGCGGCAGCUGCCUACCAGCAACAACAGCAGCAACCUUGGGGAGCAUAUGGACAACAGGGCGGCUGGGAUCCAGCCGCUGCUCAACAACAGCAACAAAUGGCUAUGGCAGCAGGUCAGGGCCAAGCAGGUGCCGCUGCUGGUGCAGGUGGUCAAGAUUACUCAGCGCAGUGGAUUGAGUACUACAAACAAAUUGGCUGUCAUCGCGAGGCAGAGAUGAUUGAACAGCAGAUGAAGGCUAAGAUGGCGGCCAGCGCUCCGGGCCCCAGUCAGCAGGCUCCACAACAACAGCAGCAACCUCAGCAGCAGCAACAACAAAGUGGUGGCAGUGGUGCCGACUACAGCGCACAGUGGGCCGAAUAUUAUCGCAGUGUGGGCAAGAUCGAGGAGGCAGAAGCUAUUGAAAAGACUCUCAAGACCAAGCAAAACGGAGCCGGCGCUGGCGGCAACAAUAGUGCGCCCAAUCCGAAUCAAGGCGGUCCAAAUCCAAACCAACAACAGCCCAAUGCAGCAGCUGCGGCAGCUGCAGCAGCAGCCGCCGCUGCAGCGGCCGGUGGCUAUGCCCAAGGUAUGACUCCUAGCCAAUAUGCACAAUAUUCACAGUAUUAUGCUGCAGCGGCUGCUGCGAGUCAUCCGCAAGGGGCCCCACAGCCCCAAGGCGGCGGAGCUGCCAGUGGAGGUGGCCAGGGCGGGGGUCCACCAGCUGGAUAUCCAGGCGGCUAUCCGGGCGGUGCCUAUGGCGGCUAUCCAAGCGGCCCUGCUGGCGGACCGGGUCAGCAGCAGCAGAAAUCACACAAAAACGAUAAACAUUGAGGGGACUGAAACAGAUGCGGGUGCCUUGAAAUGUGAAUCAUUUGAAUUGUUCUACUAUCCUAUGUCUUUUAUCCCCAAUAAAUUAGCAAAAAUUAAUUGAAGCGCAAACAGCUGAGCGAGAAGAAUAUCAACGAGCUCCAACAGUCAAGACAACCAUCAAUCAAUCAAUCAAACAAACAGUCAAUCAAUCAAUUUGCACACUUGCAGCUUGAAGCGUCGCGCUUUGCAUAAAUAUUUUAAGUGACUUUGCCUGAAAUAUUAAUUCUAUGACAACAAAAAAGAGAGAUAAACGAAAAGAAUGCUGUUGCUGUCCAGGUUCAGAUACACAAAUUCUGGGACAAUACACAAAUUGCUAUUUAUAUAUGUAUAUGCAUACAAACAUUUAUAUAUAUAUAUAUAUACAGAUUCGCAAUUAUGUUUGUGCAUAUAAUUUCACAUGCAUAAAAUCUCUUUCGUCGUCAAUUUAGGCAUCUCGAGAGCUGCUGCCAACUAGCCAAUGCACAUGUUUAACUAUGUCCACGUUGGAGUGUGUCGAUUGAAAGACAACAAAUAAACAUAUAUACAAAAUAUGACCUACCUUUUGAUACCACAAAACGUUUCUCUCAUACAUUUUAACUUAGCUUAGUUUUAAUGCAUUCAUAUAACAUUAUACCUUCACAUAUAUUAUAAUAUUAAAUACUACGAUCAACGUGUCUACUGAUCUGGUAAGAAUUUCAACCUGUAAAAUUGCCAAUGGUCUUAUAUAACUUAAACAUUGAACAAAAAAUGCCUAGGAAUAUGUUUUUUUUUUCUCUUGGAUGAAACUGGUUUGUUGAUCUGAGAAUCUUAAGGUUAUAUGUUGUUAUUCAAUUACUAAAAUUUUUAAUUUAAUAUUUCAGUUGAGGAUAAACCCAUAUGAUUCUUUAUAUAGCUUUAAGCCAUAAUUUUCCAUAAAUUUCAGUUCGAUUGAGCAACUUCUUAGGCAGCACCCAUACAAUAUAACCGCAAGGAGCCCAACGCAGAUUCCAUGCUCUCUAAUGCUUGUCCUGUCUGAAUUCUUAGCAAUCUGUUGGCGCAUUUGUUAUAUAUCUUUUUUUUUUUAAUUCCCGAACAUGUACCUAUAAUUUGGUAAGAUCUUUAAUGAUAAGUUUUGCUAAAAAGAAAUGCUCAUAAACAAGUUCACUUAUUUCGAUGAUAUUUUGAGUAUGUGUAUGUAUUUGAAAACUUGAAUACGUAUGUAUAUUAUGCACAUGCACCACAUGUAUGUACUUUCAGAGGCCGUUUGUUAAUCCAGGCAUCUUCAAACCAGUUCAUAACAAUUACAACUUAACCGAAAACCUUAUGAAAAGCCAAUAUAAAAAUAUAUAUAAUAAAUAUAUGAUAGUAAAGUAAAAGCGUGAAACUUGGUAAGAUCUUCUGUUAUUAUUGUGUAUGUCUUACGAAUCUUACAAUUGAAACCAUGAACAUUUUAAUGAGUAAACCAUAUACCGUAGGUCUGCAAUUAUGAAACAUUAUAAAUAUAUAUUUAUAUGCAAUAAAUAGCCUAAGUUUUAUGUCUCUUUAAUAUGAAAAAACAUUAAUGUUGCAACUGCUGAAAAUGAUAUGCACCCUUUCUAAUGAAUAUUUGUACAAGAAAGUGGGCGUGUUGCAAGAUUUACUAAUCUCUUUCGCAGCAGCCUUCGAUACAUUGAAUAAACACAUAAUGACUAUAAUA